This 359-nucleotide ribosomal RNA is filed under the name uncultured Sphingobacteriales bacterium. RNAcentral's name for it is "bacterial SSU rRNA". It matches the Rfam family "Bacterial small subunit ribosomal RNA", at positions 1023 to 1382 of the family's 1533-position model. The record is from RNAcentral. Lineage: Bacteria; Pseudomonadati; Bacteroidota; Sphingobacteriia; Sphingobacteriales.
CGGACAAUAUACAAGGUGCUGCAUGGUUGUCGUCAGCUCGUGCCGUGAGGUGUCGGGUUAAGUCCCAUACGAGCGCAACCCCUAUCAUUAGUUGCCAUCAGGUCAAGCUGGGGACUCUAAUGAAACUGCCUACGCAAGUAGUGAGGAAGGUGGGGAUGACGUCAAAUCAGCACGGCCCUUACGUCCAGGGCUACACACGUGCUACAAUGGCCGGUACAAAGGGCAGCUACCUGGUGACAGGAUGCUAAUCUCAAAAGCCGGUCUCAGUUCGGAUCGGAGUCUGCAACCCGACUCCGUGAAGUUGGAUUCGCUAGUAAUCGCGCAUCAGCCAUGGCGCGGUGAAUACGUUCCCGGGCCUU